This is a non-coding RNA of Taeniopygia guttata (zebra finch), 990 nucleotides long. The record is from RefSeq and is a predicted model, not a curated record. NCBI's taxonomy places the organism in Eukaryota, Metazoa, Chordata, Aves, Passeriformes, Estrildidae.
AAGGUGUGAUUUAUGGCUUUGUUUCACAACUACUCCUUGGACAGAUUUUGAAUUUACCUAGACAAUCUCUGUCAUUCAAAUUCCAACUUUAACAUUAAGCCUUGGAUUUUGAAAUUAACAACGUGCAAACACAUUGUGCAUGAUCAAUUAAACUGAACUCCACUAUUUCACAUAACUGCAGGAACUGUGAAAACCAGAACUAAACUUCGUUUCAGUCAGUUUCAAACAGAUGACCCCUACUUGAGAAGACCCGCUACCUGCUCAUACUGCUGCAACAGACUGCAUCCACUCUGGUUCUAAGAGUAAUCCUGCUGCUCCCCAUCUCCAGGUUCUUGGAAACCACACGGUGGUGGAAAGUGGGGGACACAAGUGCUCCCCAGAUCCCGACUGCCCAGCAUUACAGCAGCAGACAACUCCCUAAUACAUCCUUCCAGGAGAAGCUUUUCCAGUUAAAGCCAGCAGUAGAACCCAACCAGUAAAAGCAUACCAGGUUUCUAUGUAUGGAUUAAACUCUUUUGCUGAAAAUUCUAGCUAGAUGUAAUCUUUCCUGCACCGUGAGCUGUCAGUUCCUUGAGGGAAAACCUGGGUGAGUUUUUUUUUUUUUAACCAAGAUCAUUCAUAUUAAAACAAGGAAUAACAAUCCUUGGAGGGCCUUUGAGGGACAAGGGAGGCCAAUUCUUGAUGCGUUUUUAACAUCCAGAUAGUAAAGAGGCCACAGUGUUUUGCAGCCUGAAACUAAGACUGAGCCUAAAAUAGAACCCGAACAUCAUUUUGGUGACCCAACUAAACUAUGGGGAUUAGCUUUCUACAAGCUAAAACAUUGUGCAGGUUAGACUAGUGAUUGUUUAUUCCAGAACAGUGCAUUUGGAUGUCUCCUUACACAUGUGACUCCUUUUGUGUUUGAGCAAUGGAAAAGCUGUACUUGCUAAUAAGAAAUGAAGCAUUUGCUCACCUCUUAUCUAACUCUUAUCACUUAUCUAACCCCUUACC